AUGAGCAGAGGGGAAUUCUGGCAGCCAUGUGGAGGAUGGAUUGCAGAGGAGAGAGAGAGAGAAGCCAAAAGUCUCAUUUGGAGAUUAAUACAAGAGUCCAGGAGAAGCGGCCAAGGACGUGGUGGUCUCCCUGAAGGUGGCAGACAGGCAGCCUGGUGCCCGAGUGACAUGGUCUUGGUGCUUCCUAACGGUCCAUAGACUCGGCCACCACCGCUGGCACUGGGGAGAAGGAGGCCGCCAUCACCUUUGAGGAACAUGGGCGUCCAGUUGGGUUUCUGAGUCAGGUAAGGUUCUGGCUGAUCCUUCCCAUGUCUGAGGGGUGAAACGAAGGCACUGCGGGCAAAAGGGCCAGCUGGGCAGGGGGGACGGGGGACGGCGGCCACAGAGAAUUCUGGCCGCCACCCCCCCACCAUCCAAGGGCGACAUCCCGGGCUCCCAGCUUGAAUGGAGAGAGCU
Molecule: long non-coding RNA, 456 nt
Filed under: Monodelphis domestica (gray short-tailed opossum)
Lineage: Eukaryota; Metazoa; Chordata; Mammalia; Didelphimorphia; Didelphidae
Description: lncRNA (ENSMODG00000035703.2)
Source: RNAcentral